UUCGGUUUGUUACCUAAAAAAUUUUGUUGCGUAAUGUACUUGUAAACUUUUAAUGCUUAAAGGAGAGGCGAACAAAAACUAUUUUGUGAGAGCCACAAAAUAAAUUUUAAGCGGGAGAACAAAAAUUAUAGAUUUCUAAAUCCUAAAAUCUACUAGAACAUAGUCACAAGAAAAAGAAUAAUCUGGAUAAUCAGCAAUUCCGGGCCGUAACGAAAAGCUUAUGUUUUUUUAAAGUAAUUUUUUAUUUAUGCUGUAAUUUGCUAUGCCUGGUGCUUUCGAUUUUUGUUUGCUCUACUUCGAGAAGAACUACUGGCAUCUCAAUAUUUUGUAUUCCACAAGGAAAUGACGAGUACAACACAUCUUGGAGCAGCUUAUUGCUGUGAUUACGAAGGAUCGUGUUGUUGAUAAUAAGUUGAGGACACAGAUUGAAAAACGUAAUUUACAUGUAUGCGAAAAACACUUUCAACAGAGUCAGCUUAUACAACGUAAGUGCUAUUUCAUGUAUUUUUAGCUAUGUAAACAUUGGAAACACUAUUAAUAAAGCUCUCUCUUAAUCCUGUUGUUUAUUUAGAUGAAAAAAGAAGAACACUAAUUCCAGAAUCUAUUCCAACACUAAAUUCACCAAUAAAAAGUAUUCCCUCUUCCAGCACAUCAGUCAAUCCAAGACCUUCUGCUGAAAAGAUGGCUGUAAAAAAAACAGUACAAUAACUGUUGAUCAAAACCAACACAUAUUUUAUCAAUCAUUUGACAACUUCAUCGGCCGAGUAAAAUCACUAAAGCUUCCAGAGAGUUGGAGUGUCGAUAUAUCUCCAGACUCAAGGUUUGGAUGUGCGAUGAAAUUCAUUCCAGUGCAGAGUUCGAAAUAUAUGUUGACGAUAAUUUACUAUUCGAGGCUAUACAUGGAGUCUUCCUGAUGCUCACGAAAUAUACAGUACAUAUAAAUGAUCAGUCCGAAAUAUUACACUGUCAAAUUUAAUAGAAGUUUUAUCCACCUACAAAUUCUGUCCCGGAGUUAUUGAUUUGUCACUUGUACAUUCACACUACUUAGAGAAACAACACCUCGAAAAAAAAGUCUUUAUUCUGAUGAAAUACCCUUACAACAGUCAAAAUAUCAUCGAUCUAUGCAUUGUUCACUGUUACAAUUUAACGAUGAAAAAAUUUGCAUGCAAUGUGGCAGUGCUGCUAAAAAUCGCAAAAAUCUGUAAAACGUUCAUCAACAAGUUUGACUGUUCCAGCAAAUUUAAAUGCACCAAUUUCGUUAACAUCGCCAGAACGUGUUGUGCUAAGGCUUCGCAAUGAACGUGAAGAAAACAAGUACUUGAAAGUUGAGAACAUGUUAUUAAAACAUGAAAUUAAAUUGCUACAAGAGGAAAUAUCUUCUUCUUCGGUCCAUGUUAGUUUAGAGCUAGGUUCAGAUUUAAAAACCAUUAUGUCAAACACCAACACAUCGACAAUUUCUCCAUUUAUGAAAUUCUUCUGGGAGGAGCAACAAAAGUAUUUGUCGUCUACAAAAACUGGUGUCCGUUACCACCCAAUGGUAAUUAGAUAUUGUUUGUCAUUGGCAGCAAAGUCAUCAGCUACUCAUGAUAAUAUCCGUUAUGAUGAAAAAUCUGCUACUGGUUUGUGAUUCUACCUAAUCGACGUAGAUUGAGGGAUUAUAAGAACUACACCCAACGAGGAUUCAAUAAAAGUAUAGUUGAAGAAUUAAAACUUAAAGUUGAGCAUUUCAGUGACAUUGAAAAGUUUGUUGUCCUUUUAUUCAACAAAAUGAAAAUCCAAGAAAAUUUAGUCUGGGAUAGACAUACAGGCGAACUAAUUGGAUUUGUCGAUCUCGGAGACAUAAAUAUAAACUAUGCAACAUUACAAAAACCAGAUAAGUUCAGAGUAUCGUAAACCCUUUUAAGUUCAGUCUGGCUAAUUUUGCAACAACUGGAGCUACAGCAAGUCAAAUGUUUCCUUUGUUUUGGAAAGUAGUUGGCAUAUGUAAACUACAAUGCAAUCUAAAAGUAGUUGCCGCAACAUGUGAUGGAGCACACCAAACAGGAAGCUUUUUCGUAUGCAUUUCAACUUAACAAAAGCUGACGAUAUAAAUCCAGAUGUUGAUGUUACAUAUCGCACAGUAAAUUAUUUUAGUGCUGAAAAAUGAUACAUCUACUUUCUCUCUGAUCCUCAUUUGGAAUCGCAUAGCCGAUAUAUUUUACGAGGAUCGUGAAUGUGGAUUACACCUUCUACCUAAAUUAUCACAUGACCACAUUAAAUUUUUGUAGGUGGGUAGCUAUAAAAAUAGCUGUUUUGUUAGUGGUUGCAGUACUAUCAAUGACUUUGAUCCAGAGUGGAUGAUUUCUUCUUUAAUUCUGUGCGUAGAGAUUUUGAUCUCUUUGUAUGGGCCGAUAUUUUGUGAAGCUGCAUUUCAUCUUUGACCAAAAGAAAAUGUUCUCACUCUGACAUAUAGCAUGAGUAGGUCUUCUAGAAGAUUUAAAGAAACUUCUUUUUUCACAGAGGUUAACUAUUUUCGUAAAAUUUGACUUCACAUUAAAAAUUUUCUUAAGAAAGGAAACUAUUUCCUUGCUAUUAAUUUUACUGCACCCUUUAUUGGUAUAUGAACGAAAAUAUUCCUCGGCAGCUGUAAAAAUUAAAAUGACCUCUUUUCUGACUUUCCAUAGACUGUCACGAUCCCUAGCAUUAACCAAUUUGUACUCUGGUAUAUCUUCUGUGUCAUCAGAUUUCCCAGCCAGAAGAACCGCCAAAUACUGUUGAUGAUAUAUUUGUUGACAUAUGUUUUUUGAUGAGAAACGUAUUCGCCGAUACAUAGUACUAAAGAUGUAUCCACUAAGAUAGGAUAUGAUGAACGUUUCCUUAUCUGAAAAGGUGUGUGGUUUAUUUGGAACUUGAAAACAUCAUCCUUGAAGUCAGACUUAGACAAGUGACACAAUACUUGAUUUGCUAACUCAAAUCCUAAAAGAACAGUACAGUUGUGGCUUAGACUUGCUCCAAAGGGGUGUUCCAUGUCCGAAAUAUUUUUAUAGAAUAAUGGAUAAAACUUUUCAGCAUCUCCAUCAAAAGGUUUGAUAACAUUUUUCACCAGACUGUUUUGAAGUAUAACUAACAACAGUUGUCUAUGAAAUUCCUUUUAAAGAAAGAAAAAGACUCCAAACUGCAGCUAGCUAGCUAAUUUUACGUAGAAGUUUGCUAGAGGCUAAAUGCUGACAUUAGUUAUUUGUGCGCACAUUAAAACAAAACGUGUUUUACCAUAUCGUGGAGAAAUUACAAAGUGCGACAAAAUUGGAUUACAGAGUGCGAUGGGAUUACAAAGUGAUACGCUACAAUACACACUGUACGUAUAUAUAAUACUUAAAGGAGAGGCGAACAAAAUAUUGCUUUGUUAAACCAGAAAAUAAAUUUUAAGCGAGAGAGAAAAUAUUAUAGGCUUCUGAAUCCUAAUAUCUACUAAGAUAACUACUAUAAAAACAAAUAAAUAACUAUAUUUCACAACUAAGUAUCUUUCUAACAUCAUUUUUUACAGAAUUUUCAUGGUUGUAUGGGGUAAACAUAAGUAGGUUUAAGAUGUACUUACCAGUAAGCAUCAAAAAUACCUUAAGGCAACAAAUUUUGGCGGAAAGAAAUUUUGGCGGAUUUGGCGGAUCGUGCGAAAAUCCGCCAAAGUUAAUUCCCGCCAAAUUCUUUUUUUUAAGCAUCCGCCAAAAUAAAUUCCCGUCAAAAUUAUUUCUUUUAAGCAUCCGCCAAAAUUAAUUCCCGCCAAAUUAUAUUUUUUUCUGCAUCCGCUAAAAUUGGCGGAUUGGGUCGUCUGCCAAAAUUUCUUCCCGCCAAAAUUUGUUUCCUUAAGGUAAGAUCUUUGACUUAAAAUAACCAAGAAUAUUUUACAUGCAAUAGCAGUUACAGCAUUUUAUAACCUUUGUUUAAAUUUAUUUGAAUUAAGAAAUAUCUGGCUUGACCAACAACAAUAUUUUCUUACAUGUUUUCAGUCUUUUUUUAUGAUGAGGUGGCGCCAAAUUUAAUAAAUAUACAGACCGGAAACAUUCAACAACAAAUCUAACGCGCAAUAUGGAGGCUUCAUCUUUAUUAAAGAAUCUUUAUUUUCUUUAUUUUUCUUACACACAAAUUUGUUCAGUAAGUUCAUUGUACAAAAUAAUAAAAAUAUGUUCGUUACAUGUUCAACAUUUUUGCUAUUUUGAUCUUCAACAUUUUCCUUGUUUGAUUAUUUUGUACGUAUUACCCCGUGGCCAUCACAUCCCAUUGUUUUUUGAUUUAGCCACCCGUUUGGCAAGUGUGUAAAAAUACGGAAUUAUAAAUACUUCAGCACUCACAAAGAUGUAAACAAAACUGGUAUUUUUAAAGACAAUUAAUUCUGAUAUAUGUAACAACCAAAUCUCGGUAUAGGUUACGGGAAAUAGCAAAGCAUGGUUUUCCUUUGUUACGUGGUGUCAUUCGUAAAGAGUGAGCCAAUGACAUAAAUUUUUAGGAUUUACGUACAGGGCACUUUGGUUACACUCAUAAGCGCAAGAAAUGAACACAUAAAGUUUGGUACUUAUUACAAAAAUACCAAUGUGUUUGUUUACAAAAGAGAACAACCUCGAUGUUGUUUGAUGUUGU
This is a long non-coding RNA of Hydractinia symbiolongicarpus, 4611 nucleotides long. RefSeq lists it as uncharacterized. The record is from RefSeq and is a predicted model, not a curated record. Lineage: Eukaryota; Metazoa; Cnidaria; Hydrozoa; Anthoathecata; Hydractiniidae. The transcript has 2 exons.